RNAcentral lists this unclassified non-coding RNA (234 nucleotides) under Funneliformis mosseae. RNAcentral's name for it is "partial contains 5.8S ribosomal RNA and internal transcribed spacer 2". The stretch from base 1 to 71 matches the Rfam family "5.8S ribosomal RNA", at positions 84 to 154 of the family's 154-position model. Lineage: Eukaryota; Fungi; Glomeromycota; Glomeromycetes; Glomerales; Glomeraceae. The record is from RNAcentral.
GUGAAUCAUCGAAUCUUUGAACGCAAAUUGCACUCCCUGGUAUUCCGGGGAGUAUGCCUGUUUGAGGGUCGUUAGAACAAAAAUCGAAGCGUCGCUCUUUUUUUUUAAGGAUGAUCGCGUGGGAAUGGAGCGGUCUUUAAAAUGUUAAGGCAUGUAAAAGUGGCUUAAAAUUAAUCUAUCCGGUACGAUUAAAGCGAAUUUAAGAUCAAUUUUAAUUAAGAACGCGCGAUGAAG